This is a long non-coding RNA of Mus musculus (house mouse), 1198 nucleotides long. RefSeq annotates it as RIKEN cDNA 2810429I04 gene. The transcript is spliced from 7 exons. Lineage: Eukaryota; Metazoa; Chordata; Mammalia; Rodentia; Muridae. The record is from RefSeq and is marked validated.
GCGAAUCUGGUACCGGGACUUGGGGAGCGAGGGAUGCAACAUGGUGCAUCUGGGAGGCCUGCUAACUGGCUAACUUCUCCGGCGUUCCUCCCGGCCGAGGCGUGGGCACAGAAUAGCGCAGGUCAGUAUGUACCUCGUUUUGUAUAUUGUCUUGAAACUUUACUCCUUUGUAUGUUUGAAGACAUCAUUUUCCAGUUUUGGAGCCGACUAAUGAACUAGUUCUUAAGUGAAAGGCAUUUAACACGACUGUGCAUCUACAGGUACUAGGUUUCCAAGAUGCCUUUCCAGACUAAAACCCACACAUGUGAGCCGCUGGCCGGACAAACAUCUGGCACCUAACGUGGGGCUGAAAAACAGCAGAGGACAUUUGGAAGAAACACUGCUGGUUUGGAGCUCCAUAGAAGAAGAAAAUAAUUAAAGGAAAUUCAUACCAGAGAAGGAAGCUGCAGCUCCUCUCCUCUGGAUCUUUAUGACCACACCAGGAAGCAUUGUGAUCUGCAGUCACUGCCAACCUGCAGGAUAACACAGCUUGUUCCUCUGGGAACUGCCCUGCAGUGUCUGCAUACAGCCACCCUCGACCUGUCUGCCUGGUCUUUGCAACCUCUAGUGGCUGUUGUUCCACAAUGUGUUGUGAAGAGACCUGAAUGGUUUGCACCAAAACACAAACACAAACCAUUGGGAGAGUGAUUGGUGAAGUGAUGGACAUUUACUCGGGCAAAGGCAUGCAUGUAAAAUAGUCCCUAUCUGGAUGGACCUACGCCUGUGGCAGGAAGUUCACUGGUCAAUUACCUGCUGACUGAAGUGGCCUAUUUUCUUCUGACCCCCUGCUUCUCUCUUCCCCUCUCCGCCCUGAAAGCUGUUUGGGCAUAGGGAGGUCUUGACCUGAGGAAACCAUCUUGGGUAACCAAGGCAAGGAAAGGGAAUAUGCAACACCUAGGAGAUUUCAGCAAACAGUAGAAUCAUGCCAACGUAAUCUGUGUUAAAAUGCUUGGAAUGUGGGAGCCGCCGGUGAUGUCUGUUGUCUGUGUGUCUCCAGUAAUCCUUUCUUUUUUAAGUGCAGCAAAGCCAAGCCUGGAAACCAGGCCAAGCGCCUGCCACUUACCUUAAAUUUAUCAGCCACUUUGAGAUUAAAACCCCUGAAAGCUGCUGCACAGUGAAAGCAAGGCCUCCUUCACAUUAAAGGCAAAUCGCAACUCUG